GACAAACGCGGCGGCAUGCCUAACACAUGCAAGUCGAACGGACAGAACAGGGAAGCUUUUCGGAGUGAAACUGGAAAGUUAGUGGCGGAUGGGUGAGUAACGCGUGGACAACCUACCUUGUAAAGGGGAAUAACCUCGAGAAAUCGAAGCUAAUACCCCAUAAUAACCUGAGUCGCAUGAAGCAAGGAGGAAAGGCGGCCUUAGAGCUGUCGAUAGAAGAUGGGUCCGCGUCUGAUUAGCUAGUUGGUGAGGUAAAGGCUCACCAAGGCGACGAUCAGUAGCCGGCCUGAGAGGGUGAACGGCCACAUUGGGACUGAGACACGGCCCAAACUCCUACGGGAGGCAGCAGUGGGGAAUCUUCCGCAAUGGGCGAAAGCCUGACGGAGCAAUGCCGCGUGAGUGAAGAAGGCCUUCGGGUUGUAAAACUCUGUCCUAGACGAAGAGAGAGUAUUGUAGUAACUGACAAUACUAGGACGUAGACUAGGA
This 486-nucleotide ribosomal RNA is filed under the name Peptococcus sp. oral taxon 167. RNAcentral describes it as "bacterial SSU rRNA". It matches the Rfam family "Bacterial small subunit ribosomal RNA", at positions 37 to 485 of the family's 1533-position model. Lineage: Bacteria; Bacillati; Bacillota; Clostridia; Eubacteriales; Peptococcaceae. The record is from RNAcentral.